This 1031-nucleotide ribosomal RNA is filed under the name uncultured bacterium. RNAcentral describes it as "bacterial SSU rRNA". It matches the Rfam family "Bacterial small subunit ribosomal RNA", at positions 344 to 1400 of the family's 1533-position model. The record is from RNAcentral.
GGAGGCAGCAGUGGGGGAUUUUGCACAAUGGGUGAAAGCCUGAUGCAGCGACGCCGCGUGAGGGAAGACGGUUUUUCGGAAUGUAAACCUCUGUCUUCGGGGACGAAAAUGACGGUACCCGAGGAGGAAGCCACGGCUAACUACGUGCCAGCAGCCGCGGUAAUACGUAGGUGGCAAGCGUUGUCCGGAAUUACUGGGUGUAAAGGGAGAGUAGGCGGGGCUGCAAGUCUGUUGUUAAAUCCAUCGGCUCAACCGGUGGCUGCGGCAGAAACUGUAGUUCUUGAGUGAAGUAGAGGCAGGCGGAAUUCCUAGUGUAGCGGUGAAAUGCGUAGAUAUUAGGAGGAACACCAGUGGCGAAGGCGGCCUGCUGGGCUUUAACUGACGCUGAGGCUCGAAAGUGUGGGGAGCAAACAGGAUUAGAUACCCUGGUAGUCCACACUGUAAACGAUGAUUACUAGGUGUGGGGGGACUGACCCCUUCCGUGCCGGAGUAAACACAAUAAGUAAUCCACCUGGGGAGUACGGCCGCAAGGUUGAAACUCAAAGGAAUUGACGGGGGCCCGCACAAGCAGUGGAGUAUGUGGUUUAAUUCGAAGCAACGCGAAGAACCUUACCAGGUCUUGACAUCGUGCGCAUAGUAUAGAGAUAUAUGAAGUCCUUCGGGACGCAUAGACAGGUGGUGCAUGGUUGUCGUCAGCUCGUGUCGUGAGAUGUCGGGUUAAGUCCCUCAACGAGCGCAACCCUUACGAUUAGUUGCUACGCAAGAGCACUCUAAUAGGACUGCCGUUGACAAAACGGAGGAAGGUGGGGAUGACGUCAAAUCAUCAUGCCCCUUAUGACCUGGGCUACACACGUACUACAAUGGGUGGUACAGAGGGCAGCCAAGUCGUGAGGCGGAGCUAAUCCCUUAAAGCCAUUCUCAGUUCGGAUUGUAGGCUGAAACUCGCCUACAUGAAGCUGGAGUUACUAGUAAUCGCAGAUCAGAAUGCUGCGGUGAAUGCAUUCCCGGGUCUUGCACUCACCGCCCGUCAA